AGAGUUGAUCCUGGCUCAGGACGACGCUGGCGGCGUGCUUAACACAUGCAAGUCGAGCGAUGAAGCUCUUCGGAAGUGGAUUAGCGGCGGACGGGUGAGUAACACGUGGGUAACCUGCCUCAUAGAGGGGAAUAGCCUUCCGAAAGGAAGAUUAAUACCGCAUAAGAUUGUAAUAUCGCAUGAUAUAGCAAUUAAAGGAGUAAUCCGCUAUGAGAUGGACCCGCGUCGCAUUAGCUAGUUGGUGAGGUAACGGCUCACCAAGGCGACGAUGCGUAGCCGACCUGAGAGGGUGAUCGGCCACAUUGGGACUGAGACACGGCCCAGACUCCUACGGGAGGCAGCAGUGGGGAAUAUUGCACAAUGGGGGAAACCCUGAUGCAGCAAAACCGCCGCGUGAGUGAUGACGGUCUUCGGAUUGUAAAGCUCUGUCUUCAGGGACGAUAAUGACGGUACCUGAGGAGGAAGCCACGGCUAACUACGUGCCAGCAGCUGC
This 493-nucleotide ribosomal RNA is filed under the name uncultured bacterium. Its description in RNAcentral is "bacterial SSU rRNA". It matches the Rfam family "Bacterial small subunit ribosomal RNA", at positions 8 to 518 of the family's 1533-position model. The record is from RNAcentral.